RNAcentral lists this unclassified non-coding RNA (420 nucleotides) under Pantanalinema rosaneae CENA516. RNAcentral's name for it is "16S-23S ribosomal RNA intergenic spacer". Lineage: Bacteria; Bacillati; Cyanobacteriota; Cyanophyceae; Leptolyngbyales; Leptolyngbyaceae. The record is from RNAcentral.
CCUUAAACGAGACCUAUCGGCUGGUUAAAGGCUGAAGGAGCAAUCCUUCAAACCCAAAUGAUUGCCUGACCAAGUCCGAACAUCUCAGGUCGAUCGAAGUUUAGAUGUGGCUUUCAAACUAAUCUGGUUUUUUUCUUCAGUUAGCAUCAGAACUUGCCAGUUCAAUUGCAUCGACUGAAGUUAACUACAGAAUUUAUCUAAGAGUGACAGUAAGACUCAAAUUAGAGCUUAUUAAGCCUCACUCUAAAACUCUCGAUUUCAGCAACUUAUCUAACUAAUCUUGUGUUAGAUUAGAGAGCCUGCUGGGAUUGACCAGCGAGAACCUUGAAAACUGCAUAGAAACUUGUCAGGUAGUUAGCGACUUUAGAAGUAUUGCUUCUGGAGUUGACUAAUACAUAGACACCAAUGAAUUUUUGUUAG